RNAcentral lists this ribosomal RNA (191 nucleotides) under uncultured bacterium. RNAcentral's name for it is "partial small subunit ribosomal RNA". It matches the Rfam family "Bacterial small subunit ribosomal RNA", at positions 26 to 214 of the family's 1533-position model. The record is from RNAcentral.
AGGACGAACGCUAGCGGCGUGUUUGAAACAUGCAAGUCGAACGGGAAGAGCAAUCUUUUAGUGGCGAACGGGUGCGUAACACGUAAAGAACCUAUCCAACAGUGGGGGAUAGCCUCUGGAAACGGGGGGUAAUACCGCAUACGGUAUAGAGCAGGCAUCUGCUUUAUAGGAAAGGGAUACGAAAGUAUUUC